This 253-nucleotide ribosomal RNA is filed under the name uncultured bacterium. RNAcentral's name for it is "partial 16S ribosomal RNA". It matches the Rfam family "Bacterial small subunit ribosomal RNA", at positions 524 to 776 of the family's 1533-position model. The record is from RNAcentral.
UACGUAGGGGGCGAGCGUUAUCCGGAAUUACUGGGCGUAAAGCGCGUGUAGGCGGAUGGGCAAGUCUGCUGUGAAAGCUCCUGGCUUAACCGGGAGUGGUCGGUGGAAACUGCCAAUCUGGAGGACGGUAGAGGUAGGUAGAAUUCCCGGUGUAGUGGUGAAAUGCGUAGAGAUCGGGAGGAAUACCUGUGGCGAAGGCGGCCUACUGGGCCGGACCUGACGCUGAGACGCGAAGGCGUGGGGAGCAAACAGG